Molecule: ribosomal RNA, 394 nt
Filed under: uncultured bacterium
Lineage: Bacteria
Description: partial 16S ribosomal RNA
Rfam family: Bacterial small subunit ribosomal RNA
Source: RNAcentral
CCUACGGGUGACAGCAGUGAGGAAUAUUGGUCAAUGGGCGGGAGCCUGAACCAGCCAAGCAGCGUGAGGGAAGAAGGUCCAGCGUAUCGUAAACCUCUUUUGUCAGGGAACAAAGGCAGGGACUAGUCCCCGGUUGAGGGUACCUGAUGAAAAAGCAUCGGCUAACUCCGUGCCAGCAGCCGCGGUAAUACGGAGGAUGCGAGCGUUAUCCGGAUUUAUUGGGUUUAAAGGGAGCGUAGGCGGCCUGUUAAGUCAGCGGUAAAAGGCCGGGGCUCAACCGCCGGCGAGCGGUGGAAACUGGCGGUCUGGAGUUGGAGUGAAGUACGCGGAAUGCGCGGUGUAGCGGUGAAAUGCUUAGAUAUCGCGCAGAACCCCGAUUGCGAAGGCAGCUUAC